GGAUGUGAGGGUGAUCUGGCUGAGACAUCUGUCACUCCAUUGAUCCUCAGGAUUGAUUUGGCUGAUCUGGUUGGCUAGGCAGGUGUCCCAUUCCUCCCUGACUGCUCCAUGUGCGUCCCUCCCGAAGCUGCAUGGUGGAUCUAAGAGGACGACUGUCUUUGAGCAGAAACAGAGCAGUCUUCCGUCAAGGAUAUACCAGUAGCUGUGCUGCCCUGCUAGAACCUCCAGACAAGUUCUCAAGGUCCAAAUCUGUACAACCAGAAAGAGUUAAUGAUACAUUUGUGGGCCCAUUCCCAUUCCUCACCUUCACUGGGGAAAUAA
Molecule: non-coding RNA, 321 nt
Organism: Erinaceus europaeus (western European hedgehog)
Lineage: Eukaryota; Metazoa; Chordata; Mammalia; Eulipotyphla; Erinaceidae
Source: Rfam